AGGAAAGCAGGGGAUCGCAAGACCCUUGCGCUCUUGGAGCGGCCGAUGUCUGAUUAGCUAGUUGGUGAGGUAAAGGCUUACCAAGGCGACGAUCAGUAGCUGGUCUGGGAGGACGACCAGCCACACUGGGACUGAGACACGGCCCAGACUCCUACGGGAGGCAGCAGUGGGGAAUUUUGGACAAUGGGGGAAACCCUGAUCCAGCCAUGCCGCGUGAGUGAAGAAGGCCUUCGGGUUGUAAAGCUCUUUCAGCCGGAACGAAACGGUCACGGCUAAUACCUGUGACUACUGACGGUACCGGAAGAAGAAGCACCGGCUAACUACGUGCCAGCAGCCGCGGUAAUACGUAGGGUGCAAGCGUUAAUCGGAAUUACUGGGCGUAAAGCGUGCGCAGGCGGUUUUGUAAGUCAGAUGUGAAAUCCCCGGGCUUAACCUGGGAACUGCGUUUGAAACUACAAGGCU
RNAcentral lists this ribosomal RNA (462 nucleotides) under uncultured beta proteobacterium. RNAcentral's name for it is "bacterial SSU rRNA". It matches the Rfam family "Bacterial small subunit ribosomal RNA", at positions 200 to 642 of the family's 1533-position model. The record is from RNAcentral. Lineage: Bacteria; Pseudomonadati; Pseudomonadota; Betaproteobacteria.